AAGCAUUCAAGAUCCGGAGGCCAAGCCAUCUUCUUGUGCGAGCUUUUAUUGAAUAGCUCACUCCACGUGCAACCCGUACUUCCCUUCUGAAGAAAAAUGCAAACGAAGCCAAAUGUCGCCAUGUUCAAUUGUCCACCUCUUACUCAUCUCUGUUAUAUGAUUCAUCACUUUCUCUCCCUUACUUCUCUCCCAUCUCUGAUAUUUUUCUCCCUUCUCUGUUUAAUUUUUGUCUCUUUCCCCUCCAGAACCGCGUAUUCUCCUCCCUUGGACAUUUCUGCAAAUAUCUUCCUUUUGCAAAUUAUUACUCCUCACUCCUUUCCCAUUUUUCUCCCACUUGCUUCUCUGAUAGCUAAUCUCCCUCUCUCCAUCUCUCCUUCUGUCGCUUUAUCUCUUUACCAUUACUGGUUGAUUCCUUUUUGGUAUCCUCAAAAAGGGUAGUGGCGUUUGAUAAUUGCUUCUGCGUCAGCUACACAACUAAAGAAGCACUUUCUCCCCCCAAGAAUUACUGGGAGGUCAGUAUGGCAACUAAAGAAGCAACUGAUGGUGCUAGCGUUACUGUUUCUGCCGUUUCUUCUAAGAUUCCGGCAGCUGCGAACCCUUUGGCUGAAGAUGCUUUAAAGAUUGCAUCCAAUAUUAUUUACCAUGCACAAUACAGCCCUCAUUUCUCCCCUUCCAAGUUCGAGCCGGAGCAAGCUUUCUAUGCCACUGCUGAGAGUGUUCGUGAUCGGCUUGUACAAGUACUGAUAUUUAAGACCUUAAUAAUUGAAGGGUUAUUAUUCAUUUUGUUAUUUUUUUCAUGUGGUAUUGUUUGUUUAGUUAAUUCUUCUUUUGCUCUGUAGAUGAAUUGCCCUCAUGAAUUUGUUACUAUCAUGUGGACUAAGAUGGUUUCUAGCUAACUUUUAAAAGAUAUUUUCCAUGUGAUUUGCUAUCAGAAUGUAACUUGAUUGGACUAUUUUUCCAGGAUGCAAUAGAAGGUGAAUAAUAAAAAUAAUAAGGAAUAAUAAAGGAAGCUUGUGUUUUUGAACAAAGUUUGGGGUGAUGUUUAUAUUCUCUGCAGCAAUGGAAUGAGACGUAUCUUCAUUAUCACAAAGUUGAUCCAAAGCAGACAUACUACUUAUCAAUGGAAUAUCUUCAAGGACGAGCUUUGACCAAUGCAAUUGGGAACCUGGACAUUCAAGGCGCAUAUGCUGAUGCUUUAAAUAAGCUGGGACAUGAACUUGAGGAAAUCGUUGAGCAGGAGAAAGAUGCAGCACUUGGAAAUGGUGGUCUAGGGAGACUUGCUUCAUGUUUUCUAGACUCUAUGGCAACACUGAAUUUGCCUGCAUGGGGAUAUGGUCUGAGGUACAGAUAUGGGCUGUUCAAGCAGAGGAUCACCAAGGAGGGCCAAGAAGAAAUUGCUGAGGACUGGCUUGAGGUCUGAUCUCUCUUUAAAAUAUUGCGUAAUGUCAUUUAAACAAAUUGAUGUUUGAUUUUGACUGGACUUAUGCAGAAGUUUAGUCCUUGGGAAGUUGUCAGGCAUGAUGUUGUAUUCCCUGUCAGAUUCUUUGGUCAUGUUCAGGUUAAUCCUGAUGGAUCGUAAGUAUUGAUACUAAAUCUUUUAAAUUGACCAUAUUGCUGCACUCAUAUGCUGGUUUCAAAUCCUUCAAGUAUUAAGGGAUCAUACUCACUUUUUUCCCUUUUUUUUUCUUCUGUUUAUGUUCUUUUUUAUUUUUCUUACAACAGACAAUUUAACGCAAAAUGGUUGCAUCUUGUAUAUGCAGCCGAAAGUGGGUUGGUGGAGAGAUUGUGCAAGCUCUAGCUUAUGAUGUUCCAAUUCCAGGAUAUAAAACCAAGAAUACUAUUAGUCUUCGCCUCUGGGAAGCAAGAGCUUCUGCUGAGGACUUCAAUCUAUUUCAAUUUAAUGAUGGACAGUAUGAAUCUGCUGCGCAGCUUCAUUCUCGAGCUCAGCAGAUUUGUGCUGUUCUUUAUCCUGGGGAUGCAACAGAAGAAGGAAAGCUUUUGCGGCUGAAGCAACAAUUCUUUCUAUGUAGUGCGUCGCUUCAGGCCUAAAGGUUGGCAAGGCAACACAAGAUUAGAUAUGGCUGUGCCCUUCAUUCUAUGCUGACCCCAGGCUGGGUCUGGUUUGUUGGAAGUCCAUAUGAGAUACAAUAAUUACAAACCCAUGUUUCUUCGCGUUCUAAUAUUGCAUGUAGAGUGGUUAGCUUGUCAGGCUAGUUUGCACUACAGUUCACCCUAAUGUUGGGACAAAUUGCAGGAUAUUAUUAUGAGAUUUAAGGAGAGGAGAACUGGGAAAAGCUCAUGGAAAUGGUCUGAAUUUCCCAGCAAGGUUGCAGUACAACUGAAUGAUACUCAUCCUACCCUUGCAAUUCCCGAGCUGAUGCGAAUUCUAAUGGAUGAUGAAGGAAUUGGGUGGGAUGAAGCCUGGGAUGUGACAACAAGGACCGUUGCUUAUACAAAUCACACAGUCCUUCCUGAAGCAUUAGAGAAGUGGUCACAAACUGUCAUGUGGAAGCUUCUUCCACGCCACAUGGAAAUCAUAGAAGAAAUAGAUAAGAGGUUCAUUGCGCUGAUACGUGGCAGUCGGACUGAUCUUGAGAGUAAGCUUCCCAGCAUGUGCAUCUUGGAUAAUAAUCCCCAAAAGCCAGUUGUUCGGAUGGCGAAUUUGUGUGUGGUUUCUUCACAUACGGUGAAUGGUGUAGCUCAGUUACACAGUGAUAUCUUGAUGUCUGAGUUAUUUGCAGACUAUGUGUCUAUAUGGCCAAAAAAGUUCCAAAACAAAACCAAUGGAAUUACACCUCGCCGUUGGCUCCGGUUUUGCAGUCCUGAGCUCAGUAACAUAAUUACAAAAUGGUUAAAAACUGAUCAGUGGGUUACCAACCUUGACCUACUUGUAGGUCUCCAAAAGUUUGCGGACAAUGAGGACUUCCAAACUGCAUGGGGCUCUGCCAAGAUGGCUAAUAAGCAACGUUUGGCACAGUACAUACUGCGAGUGACAGGUGUAAGCAUUGAUCCAAAUAGUUUAUUUGACAUACAAGUCAAGCGAAUCCAUGAAUAUAAAAGACAGCUUCUGAAUAUUUUGGGUGCAGUAUAUAGAUACAAGAAAUUGAAGGAGAUGAGUGCUGAAGAGCGGAAGAAUACAACUCCACGCACUGUUAUGAUUGGAGGCAAAGCAUUUGCUACAUAUACAAAUGCUAAAAGAAUAGUGAAGCUGGUAAAUGAUGUUGGCGCUGUUGUCAACAGUGAUCCUGAAGUCAAUAGUUAUUUGAAGGUAGUAUUUGUUCCAAAUUACAAUGUAUCUGUAGCAGAGAUGCUUAUUCCAGGAAGUGAAUUAUCACAGCAUAUCAGUACUGCAGGCAUGGAGGCAAGCGGCACAAGCAACAUGAAAUUUGCACUCAAUGGUUGCCUUAUAAUAGGAACUCUGGAUGGGGCUAAUGUGGAAAUUAGGGAGGAAAUAGGAGAGGAAAAUUUCUUUCUCUUUGGUGCAACAGCAGAUGAGGUCCCUAGACUACGCAAGAAAAGAGAGAAUGGAUUGUUCAAACCAGAUCACCGAUUUGAGGAGGCCAAGCAGUUUAUAAGAAGUGGGGCAUUUGGAAGCUACGAUUACAAUCCACUUCUUGAUUCUCUGGAGGGGAACUCUGGUUAUGGCCGUGGUGAUUAUUUUCUUGUUGGGGAUGACUUCCCAAGCUAUUUGGAUGCUCAGAAAAGAGUAGAUGAAGCUUACAAGGAUAGCAAGAGAUGGCUGAAAAUGUCCAUAUUAAGCACCGCUGGCAGUGGCAAAUUCAGUAGCGAUCGCACAAUUGCUCAAUAUGCAAAAGAGAUAUGGAAUAUUGAGGGGUGCCGAGUACCAUAAUUGCUACUAUAUGCCACUCAUCAUUCUAUGUUUAUGAUUGUAAUAAAGCAUGAACAAGCUGGAAAGAAUCAGGGAAAUGUCAAGGGAAAGGAACCAUACUUGUAUCAAAAUAUGCAUAAGUGGAUAUGCAUAAGUGGAACGCAUCAAUAAACCAGAUGCUAUGCAUCUGUCACUCUUCAUGUUUGUAUUAGGAGAUAUUAUUGCCCUAUAAAAUAAUCUCUUUUUUUUUUUUUAAUUUCCUUUUUUUUUGGUGUGUGAUGCCUCCUCUCUUAAACAUGUUCUUAGAGAUUCAUAGGCAUUAUGAAUGGAAACCACAUACGAUGAUAUGCUACCUGGCUACUUCUCCAUCCCCUUUCUAGUUUAGCUGCUGUAUCUCAAAAUCCAUCUCAAAUUGUCACCUUCCUAAUGGAUUUCCAAGAAACAUCCCCAAAACUUUAGAAUCCUAGAGUAAUCAGUAGCUGGGUUUGCACAUAAUGUUGCUAUGGAAUAAAAUGAAGAAUAAAAUAGCUAUUCCAUAGGCUAUGGCGUGGCUAUUCUUCAAAUUUCAAUUAUGUUCAGAACUUGUAUUCCACUAGUUUAUAGUAUAGCUAUUCUAUUUCUAUGGAGUAUUUUAUUCCACAUUAAAAUUUGAACCAAAGUAAAACUGUGGAAUGGCUAAUCUAUGAAUAACUAUUCUACAUAUAAAAUUUUAACGCCAAAGUUCUAUGCAACACGGAACUACCUUAUUUUUACAUGAACCAAACAAAGUUAUUGUAAAGUCCAUUACAUUUUCACUGGCUUUGUUUUUUUUGUAUUAAUGAACUCUUCUAGAUUCAGUCAAACAGUUUUUGUUGCUUACAUAUCUCUAAGUUGGAUAUUCUCACUGGAGGUGCAUUGCAGCUUGGAUCUGCUGAACGUUUCAUGCAAGAAUCAGAGUUUUUGAUAUAUGGGAAUGGUAAAGACAACCCUCCUACAGGAUUUAUGUUUAAGAAACAGCAGAUGAAAGGUUUAUAUUUCAAUCAAUCACCAACAAAGGUAUGUUGCACUUCAAGCUGAUGACAUUAUCCAAAAUCUAUUGGUUUCUAUAACUUACUUCCAAAUACAUAAAGCAGGCCCUUAUUUGUUCAAUAAAAAUGAAUUAGCUUGAAAUAAUUUAAUAUAAAUAUGGGUUUGAACUUUUUAUUGUGCCUUACUUUUUUUUUUAUCUUACAUCAAUUAGUUAGACUCUUUGGCUUUGUCCUUGACCUUUGGGGUUAAAGGGAGAGACACGGGCAAGGGAAGAUGCAUCUGACAGAAGGGUGAAGGGAAUUGUUAACCUUCUUAAAUGAUGAUUAGUUUGUCUUUUAUAGUUUGCUUUGUUGAUCUUAGGUUUGCCUCCACUAAAAAUAGAACACUUUUGUGACCACCACUUUGGUCCAUGGCCCUCCAACUAAUUUGAAUGAUCUUGUUGCUGUGGUCACAAUGUGAAGUGCGUUUUUUAACUAAAAUAAAAGAAUAGUUGGGGUUUUGUGUUCACUUAAUACUAAAUUCUCAAGUCUAAGAGGCUUUACAGUAGAAGUAUGAAGUCAGAAUUUGGCCUUCUAAUCUGUGUUCAUUAUACGUCCUAGUUUGCUAGUAAAAUUCAAACUAGACUUUUCUCCCCAGGAUGUUGCUUUGUCAAUGGUUUGUAUGAGACCCAUCCCAUUGGGUCCUAUAAUGGAGAAGCUGUCAUUGUCCUUUGAGAAAUAUGGAACUAGUAGGCGGUUCUUCAUUCAAACAUUGGAUGAUCAUGCACUUUCACCAGAUGUCCAAGAAAAGCUAGUGAGAGAAAAUCCACCAGAAGGAUUCUUCAAGAUUAAAGGAAGUGACCACUGUCCUUUCUUUUCAAAACCACAAUCUCUCCACAAAAUAUUGCUGGAAAUUGCUCAGAUUCCAUAGAUUGUUUAUUUUGGGAAAUGGAGAACAAGUUUCUGUGAGUCUUUUAUUGGUUUAACAUACAUAGCUUUUACAAUGUGAUAAGCGAUUGUUAAUUGUCGAACAAUGGAUGAAUUUUUCUACUGUUAAUGAUUUCUUAAGUCUUAUUCUGAGUGUAUGCACAGGGUGUAAAUUUAUCUAACUUGUUACCUAGAUAAACCAAUAUCGUGAUUUGAUGUGGUUGAAGGGAUCAUACUUGACUAUUAGCAAAUAUUAGUGCAGUUAUGAAUUGCUUUCUUCCUCCCAUUAAAUGUGGAUUCUACUGGUAAUUUUGGAGGUGGAUGUUAUAUGAGUGUGAAGGGGUGAAUCACCCUGGAUGUGUUGAAUAAUUUAAGUUCAGAUCUCACAAUUAUUAGUUUGGAUUGUUACUCCUAUUUGAUAGAUUGUUUAUUUUUGCAUAUGCAAAUGUCUUUUAUUGUAAUUACAUGAUUAUGAUUUAAAUAUCUCUAGUUAUAAUGAACAAAAUUACUAUGUAUCUUGUAUUUCUGUUUCUGAUUAAAAAAAGAAGAAGAAAGCUCUCACUAUGGUCAUUGUUAGGUGGUUGAAUGAAGUACAAUCUACACUUCCAUUCAAAAUUCCUGACCUUCAAGCCAUUAACUUCUUUUACGAUUCCAAUUUCCUGACCUUUAAUCAACAGAAUACCUUGUACGUAUUGGAGAAGGAUAGAGUUUUUAUCUCUUCUUUUUUAUUUUCUUU
RNAcentral lists this unclassified non-coding RNA (6478 nucleotides) under Hevea brasiliensis (rubber tree). Lineage: Eukaryota; Viridiplantae; Streptophyta; Magnoliopsida; Malpighiales; Euphorbiaceae. The record is from RNAcentral.